CUUCCUUCAUUCACACAAGCAUCCUCUCCUUCUCUCCUCUUCACCGCGCUUUCUCUCUGUAAAACUAAAAUCGACUCUCCCUCCAUCCUCUCUAUUCUUCAACCCGAAGUCAUCAGUUGCCGUUGGGGCGCGGACGAUGAUGUUCCGCAGCGCUGUUGCCAUGAACGGGGCCACCGGGAGCUUGGGUGGCGCCACCAAUUCUUCUCCAUCCACCGUUGACUAUGAAGAAUUAUCAGAGGGAAAUGGAUAUAGACUUCCUCCACCAGAGAUUAGAAAUAUUGUUGAUGCUCCGCCCCUUCCAACACUAUCAUUUUCACCUGGUAGGGAUAAAAUACUCUUCCUCAAAAGGAGAUCAUUGCCUCCUCUGGAAGAAAUUGGCAAGGCCUGAGGAGAAGCUUGCUGGAAUUCGCGUUGAUCCCAAAUGUAAUUCCCAGAGUCGAAUGUCAUAUUAUACAGGGAUUGGAAUCUAUUAGAUAAUGGAGGACUGUACAUUGGGACCUGAAAAAGAAGUACAUGGUCUUCCAAGUGGUGCAAAAAUCAAUUUUGUUUCGUGGUCAAAUGAUGGUAGCUAUCUGGCCUUUGGUGUUCGAGCUGAUAAGGUAUUUUCUUUUAAUUUGUUGUUUUGUUAUAAUCAUUCAAUACUUACCCGCAUCUUUCAUUUUGCUGACAAAUCCCUUUAUUACCAAGGAUGUCCCUUUAUUUGCGAUGGAUAUUUGGGAAGGAAUGAAUUCCCUUCCAAAUUUCGAAUCAAUUUGUGAUGGAU
Molecule: long non-coding RNA, 763 nt
Organism: Andrographis paniculata
Lineage: Eukaryota; Viridiplantae; Streptophyta; Magnoliopsida; Lamiales; Acanthaceae
Exons: 4
Source: RefSeq, a predicted model, not a curated record